This 74-nucleotide transfer RNA is filed under the name Methanobrevibacter sp. Its description in RNAcentral is "tRNA-Leu". It matches the Rfam family "tRNA". From Rfam's summary of the family: Transfer RNA (tRNA) molecules are approximately 80 nucleotides in length. The record is from RNAcentral. Lineage: Archaea; Methanobacteriati; Methanobacteriota; Methanobacteria; Methanobacteriales; Methanobacteriaceae.
GGCUGGAUAGCCCAACUGGCAGAGGCAUUGGUCUUAAAAACCAUUCAGUGUGGGUCCGAAUCCCUCUCCAGCUA